AUGUUCGAGUACUAUCAUAUUGGCAACAGAAUGUUUCAUAGUGAGGAUGAAGGAUAUAGAUUCUAUAACAAAUAUGUUCUUCUGAAAGGUUUUAGUGUGAGGAAAAGUUAUGUUAAGUGGGAUGGAUCCAACAAUCAGAUAAUUUUAAGGAAAAUUGUGUGUAGUCGUGAAGGGGUUCAUGAAGAGAAGAACAUGAAGAGGAAGAUGGAAGAUAGAAAGAGGAGGCCACAGAUUAUAACUCAUGCUGGGUGUGAAGCUAAAUUGGUCAUUGCAUGACAUGAGGAAACAUGUCAAUCAUUUGUGAAGGAUUUCAUCGAUGAACACAACCAUCCGCUAGCUCCAUGGGAUCUUUCGUGUCUUUUGCAUUCGCACAGAUGAAUUAGCGAUGGGCAGAAAGCGGACAUUGCAGACAUGGAAUCUGGGAUCUGCAAACACCAUAUUAUGGAUAUUUUGUGCAUGCAAUAUGGUGGAUAUGAUCAGGUUGGAUGCACGAGGAGGUACAGUUAGAAUUUCCGCCAUGCUAGUAAGCAGGAAUCAAUCACUGUUGAUGAUGCUCAAACGGUGAUCAGUCACAUGAUGGCGCGACGUGAGCAAGAUCCGGAUUUUUCUUCAAGUACUUGUGAUGAAAUUGGCCAUCUGAAGGGACUGUUCUAGUAUGAUCGGCAAUCCUGACUUGACUAUGAGGCUUUUGGAGAUGUUAUUGUUUUUGAUAGCACAUACAGAACAAAUAAGUACAAUCUACCAUAUGUGCCAUUUGUCGGGUUGAAUCACCACCGCAACACUAUUAUUUUUGGAUGUGGUAUCAAUUCUCAUGAAAAAAGCCAGGCAUAGGAGUGUAUGUUGCAGUCCUUUUCUGAUGCCAUGGGGCAGAAGCAUCUGAUAUUUGUGAUCACGGACGAGGACCUUGCAAUGCAGAGAGCAAUUAGGAUGGUCUGACCUAACUCAAACCAUAGGUUGUGUAUAUGGGACAUUCAGCAGAACAUUGUACGUCAUCUUCAUGAUGACGCGGUAAAGGAGGAAUUAAGAUCUUUCAUAUAUGGUUCAUCUUCCAUGGAAGAGUAUGAUAGAAAACAGAUACAAUUCUUACAACGAAAUGAAGUAACUAGUGAGGAGUCCUGGCUGCAUCAAAUGUAUCAGAUGAGAAAGUUGUGGUGUGCUCCAUAUCUUGAGGGGCAUUGUUUCCUAGGAUUGAGCAGUAAUCAGCGGAGUGAGAUCUUGAACUCUGUGCUACAUACGCAUCUUGAGGGUAAGAUGACGUUGUUUCAAAUAGUAGAGCAUUAUGAGGGUUUCCUUGCAACGUAACGCUUGAACGAGGCUCUCCAAGACAUCGAGACCUUGCGGUUCAUUUCAUUUACAGAGGAAAAUGCUUCAACUUUUGAGAAAUACGUCGCAACAAUUUUCACUCCUACUAUGUUUAAGUUGGUCUUAUGAAGCAUAAAUGUUGUCAGCAAAUGUGUGAUCAGAGAGGUACUAGAUGCAUCAGAAGUUACCACCUAUGUUGUGUCUAAGAAAGAAAGAAUGGAUAAAAAGUUCGAAAUGCGCAGUGAGAAGCAGGAAGGUGCAAUCGACGAACCUUGA
This 1578-nucleotide ribosomal RNA is filed under the name Triticum aestivum (bread wheat). RNAcentral describes it as "partial small subunit ribosomal RNA". The record is from RNAcentral. Lineage: Eukaryota; Viridiplantae; Streptophyta; Magnoliopsida; Poales; Poaceae.